RNAcentral lists this ribosomal RNA (504 nucleotides) under uncultured bacterium. RNAcentral describes it as "partial 16S ribosomal RNA". It matches the Rfam family "Bacterial small subunit ribosomal RNA", at positions 355 to 875 of the family's 1533-position model. The record is from RNAcentral.
UGGGGAAUAUUGCACAAUGGGCGAAAGCCUGAUGCAGCAACGCCGCGUGAGUGAUGAAGGUCUUCGGAUUGUAAAGCUCUGUCUUUUGGGACGAUAAUGACGGUACCAAAGGAGGAAGCCACGGCUAACUACGUGCCAGCAGCCGCGGUAAUACGUAGGUGGCGAGCGUUGUCCGGAUUUACUGGGCGUAAAGGGUGCGUAGGCGGAUGUUUAAGUGAGAUGUGAAAUACCCGGGCUUAACUUGGGUGCUGCAUUUCAAACUGGAUAUCUAGAGUGUAGGAGAGGAGAAUGGAAUUCCUAGUGUAGCGGUGAAAUGCGUAGAGAUUAGGAAGAACACCAGUGGCGAAGGCGAUUCUCUGGACUGUAACUGACGCUGAGGCACGAAAGCGUGGGUAGCAAACAGGAUUAGAUACCCUGGUAGUCCACGCCGUAAACGAUGAGUACUAGGUGUAGGAGGUAUCGACCCCUUCUGUGCCGCAGUAAACACAUUAAGUACUCCGCCUG